CAUGCACCUGAAAUCAUAAACUGCUGUUUUUUUAUAGCAGUAGUUUAAAUAGAGGUGCUAACAGCAACUGGAUCUUGUCGCCUUUGGGGGGCUGUGACUGUGCCCUUCAAAGUGAAUUUGGAGGUUCUACACCC
Manis pentadactyla (Chinese pangolin) is the source of this 134-nucleotide small nucleolar RNA. RefSeq annotates it as small nucleolar RNA SNORA68. The transcript has a single exon. Lineage: Eukaryota; Metazoa; Chordata; Mammalia; Pholidota; Manidae. The record is from RefSeq and is a predicted model, not a curated record.